Molecule: ribosomal RNA, 293 nt
Filed under: uncultured bacterium
Lineage: Bacteria
Description: partial 16S ribosomal RNA
Source: RNAcentral
GGACUACCCGGGUAUCUAAUCCCGUUCGCUCCCCUGGCUUUCGCACCUCAGCGUCAGGUGACUCGCCAGGACACUGCCUUCGCCUUCGGUGUUCCUCCGGAUCUCUACGCAUUUCACCACUCCACCCGGAAUUCCGUGUCCCUCUCGAGCCCUCAAGUCACGCCGUCUUUCGUAUGCUCGGAGAGUGAAGCCCUCCGCUGUCACACAAAACGCGCCUGACCGCCUGCAUGCCCUUUACGCCCAGUAACUCCGGACAACGCUCGCCCCCUACGUAUUACCGCGGCGGCUGGCAC